This 73-nucleotide transfer RNA is filed under the name Podarcis lilfordi (Lilford's wall lizard). Its description in RNAcentral is "tRNA.Lys". The stretch from base 8 to 65 matches the Rfam family "tRNA", at positions 8 to 63 of the family's 71-position model. Rfam says of the family: Transfer RNA (tRNA) molecules are approximately 80 nucleotides in length. Their secondary structure includes four short double-helical elements and three loops (D, anti-codon, and T loops). The record is from RNAcentral. Lineage: Eukaryota; Metazoa; Chordata; Lepidosauria; Squamata; Lacertidae.
GUUGGAGUAGCUCAGUUGGUAGAGCAUGAGGCUCUUAAUCUUAGGGUCGUGGGUUUGAGCCCCAUGUUGGGCA